This 348-nucleotide ribosomal RNA is filed under the name uncultured Verrucomicrobiaceae bacterium. Its description in RNAcentral is "bacterial SSU rRNA". It matches the Rfam family "Bacterial small subunit ribosomal RNA", at positions 1035 to 1382 of the family's 1533-position model. The record is from RNAcentral. Lineage: Bacteria; Pseudomonadati; Verrucomicrobiota; Verrucomicrobiia; Verrucomicrobiales; Verrucomicrobiaceae.
CAGGUGCUGCAUGGCCGUCGUCAGCUCGUGUCGUGAGAUGUUGGGUUAAGUCCCGCAACGAGCGCAACCCUUGUGAUUAGUUGCCAGCACGUCAUGGUGGGAACUCUAAUCAGACUGCCCAGAUCAACUGGGAGGAAGGUGGGGACGACGUCAGGUCAGUAUGGCCCUUACGCCUUGGGCUGCACACGUACUACAAUGCCCGGCACAAUGAGAACCGAAACCGCGAGGUUGAGGAAAUCUGGAAAACCGGGCCCAGUUCGGAUUGGAGGCUGCAACCCGCCUCCAUGAAGUUGGAACCGCUAGUAAUGGCACAUCAGCUACGGUGCCGUGAAUACGUUCCCGGGUCUU